AACGAACGCUGGCGGCAUGCCUAACACAUGCAAGUCGAACGAGACCUUCGGGUCUAGUGGCGCACGGGUGCGUAACGCGUGGGAACCUGCCCUUAGGUUCGGAAUAACUCCCCGAAAGGGGUGCUAAUACCGGAUAAUGUCUUCGGACCAAAGAUUUAUCGCCUUUGGAUGGGCCCGCGUUGGAUUAGCUAGUUGGUAGGGUAAAAGCCUACCAAGGCGACGAUCCAUAGCUGGUCUGAGAGGAUGAUCAGCCACACUGGGACUGAGACACGGCCCAGACUCCUACGGGAGGCAGCAGUGGGGAAUAUUGGACAAUGGGCGAAAGCCUGAUCCAGCAGUGCCGCGUGAGGGAUGAAGGCCUUAGGGUUGUAAAGCUCUUUUACCCGGGAUGAUAAUGACAGAACCGGGAGAAUAAGCUCCGGCUAACUCCG
Molecule: ribosomal RNA, 431 nt
Filed under: uncultured bacterium
Lineage: Bacteria
Description: partial 16S ribosomal RNA
Rfam family: Bacterial small subunit ribosomal RNA
Source: RNAcentral